Molecule: RNA transcript, 6508 nt
Organism: Siniperca chuatsi (mandarin fish)
Lineage: Eukaryota; Metazoa; Chordata; Actinopteri; Centrarchiformes; Sinipercidae
Gene: rbfox3a
Gene name: RNA binding fox-1 homolog 3a
Exons: 18
Source: RefSeq, a predicted model, not a curated record
CUAAAGCCCCCCCUCCUCGAUCUCUCUUUCUGACUCUCUCUCCCCAUCUCAGUCUCUCGGUCAGAGCAGUUUGUUCGGCAGAGGGGUAUAACAGAGUAGAUUGCGCGUUUGCUGUGGCAUGUGUGUGUCCAGAGCAGCGAUCGAAGUGAAAACGGAGAGAGGAAUAGACAGAUAAGCAGAUAGAAAGGGAGAGAGAGAGAGAGACAUCCAGAGGCAGGACUGAGCGGACUGAGAGAAAGCAACACUCCUCACCACCGCAGUUGGAUAGACAGAGAGAUGCUAACAGCCUAACAGAAGCUCAUCACAUUUCUUCUACAUCCCAGCCACAGAAAACCACAGCUGUUCUAACAGGCUGACAUAUAACUGAAGACACAUCCAGACGUCUCAUCCACUUUGCCAACAUCCUAACGGGAUCUGUGCAGAGCCUAUUCAGGAUUUGGUGGUGAAGAAACCAAAGCCAUCUCCCAGGAGCAUGUGUAAAUCAACGCUCUAUCAAGUAUACACAGGGUCCCUUCUUUCCGAGCAGUUGGCUGUACAUGGAGACCCCAAGUUGGUCAGAAACCAAGACAGGAAGCGGUCUGUUCAAACCGGGAACAAUUGCUCUGUUUGGUAACGUGGUGUACAGCGGACUGUUCAACGAGCACUUCUGGCACUUCGGGGUUCCCCUCGUCACCAGACUGGGCAACCAAGAGGCCCCAGCUCCCCCUGAAGCCAUGGCCCAACCCUUCCCACCAGCCCAGUACCCCCCUCCACCACAGAAUGGGAUCCCAGCCGAGUACGCCACGCCCCACACCCACCCAUCGGCUGACUACACGGGACCAAGCACGGUGGCUGAGCACGCCCUGACGCUGUACACAUCGACACACACACAGAGCGAACAGCCGGGAAACGACAGCAACACCCCCACCCUCACAGCCAACACAGUAACACAGGCAGAGGAGGUUGCACAGACGGAGGGCUCCCAGCAGCUCCACCUGCUGCCCAGUGAUUCGUCAGAGAAGCAGCAGCCCAAGAGGUUACACGUCUCCAACAUCCCUUUCCGUUUCCGAGACCCUGACCUCCGCCAAAUGUUUGGGCAAUUUGGCAAGAUUUUAGACGUGGAGAUUAUUUUUAACGAGCGAGGCUCCAAGGGCUUUGGGUUUGUAACAUUUGAAACGAGUGCAGAUGCUGACCGUGCACGGGAGAAACUAAAUGGUACAAUCGUAGAGGGACGCAAAAUAGAGGUCAACAAUGCCACAGCCAGAGUAAUGACCAACAAAAAGGUGGCAAAUCCUUACACAAACGGCUGGAAGCUGAAUCCAGUCGUUGGAGCAGUAUAUGGUCCUGAAUUUUAUGCAGUGACAGGGUUUCCAUACCCCAGUACAGGAGCAGCCGUGGCCUAUAGAGGGGCCCAUUUGAGAGGCAGGGGUCGUGCCGUUUACAACACAUUCCGCACUGCACCCCCCCCUCCACCUAUCCCUGCCUAUGGAGCUGUGGUCUACCAGGAUGGCUUUUAUGGGGCAGAAAUAUAUGGAGGGUAUGCCGCUUACCGAUAUGCCCAACCAGCUGGUACUGCUGCAGCUGCGUACAGUGACAGAUAAAACACUCGUCCCCAUUUUCUCAUAAAUUGAAACAGUUAUGGCAGAGUCUAUACAACAGCAGACCCCUACCACCAUACGAUUGGUCCUGCAGCCACAUACAGCGUGGGCACUAUGUAAAUAAAAGAAAGAUGAGACUGAUGAGUACAGAUGGACAUCAACUAAAAAAAUGAAGAACAACGCAGAAAGACACAAGACACAGAACGACACAAAAAAAAGAUCAACUAAAACAAAAAGAGCAGAAUUAUAAAGGAGCCCUUCUAUCAAGACUGAAUGGGAUCUGAAAGGAUGGAAGGAGGAUGUUUGUGGGCCUGCUCUGAGGCCAGGGCCUGAACCAUUGAGCCUGUAGUCCAGGGGGAGGGGAUCCUGCUGGCUCUGACCCCUGAAAAACAAGCCUUGCUGAGUGGAAGAGACCAAUUAGAGAGGUCACCAUAAAACAUUUUAUUUUUGUAAACUUUUUUAAGUUUAUGAUUUCCAAAAAGAGCAAACACUAAUGUACAUACAGUAUAUACAUAUUAUAUAUUAUAUGUGUGUAAUAUAGUAAGUAUAAAAAAGAAAAACUUGGGGAAAAAUGUUAUGUGUCUUUGCAAUUUAGAAGAAGGAGGUGAGGUGAGGAGAUGCCAUCUUCCCCCUGUCUUCUGAUUGUGUCCCUCCACACCCCACCCCCCUCACCCCCUGCUGUAUGGGGUAGGGGUGUUGGAGAUAGUGCGGACUUGGUGUGUGUGUGUGUGGGUGUGCGUCGAGGGGUGGGGGGUAGCUGGUCCAGCAGACAUUUCACUAUGUGAUAAUAUGGAGUAGUCUUCAGAUAGUCAGAUAGUAAAUAGAUAAGCAAAAAGCUUUCUGAGCCUGUCUUCCACAAAUGGACUGCAGUACUGUAUUUGUUACGCUGGCUAGUUUUGUCCAGUAGUCUGCAUUUUGUAGAUUCCAAAAAAAUAAGCAUAUGAAUUAUCCCUACAGGUCUGUGCAAAUGGAGAUAAGAAAGGAUGGAAAUGAUGUGAUUAUUUGAUGAGUGCACAAGCUCAGCUGAAGAGCACAGUGAGAGUUGAAAGGUCAGUAGUGGGUGAUGUCUGCUGGAGGCCUGGCAGCCCCUGACAUCACUACCAAACAUGUCAUUGUAGUGUUGUGGUUUGAGGUGGCUGUGCUGUGUAGUAAACUGCUUUUGUACAUUGUGUUGGGUAGGGGAGGGUAGCGAAGGGUAGGGUAGGGUUGGGGUGGGUGGAACAGGCAGUCUGAGGGAAAGUACAAGUUAGUAACAUGGAAGCUGUCUGCUUCGAAGCGUCACAGGAAACUCUCCCAUCCAUCUUUGAACACUACCCUUGCCUUCCACCGCUGAGGACGGAUGGUGGGAUGAAAGGGGGAGGGGAAGGGGGAAGAAAGUUCUAUAUGAAGUUUAAAAAAAAAAGGUUCAUGAACAAACAAAGUUUUCCUAAGAGUCUCUUCAAACCUUUCUAUUUAUAUGGAUCUCUACUUUAGCGAGAUCCUUCUAUAUUUAAACGUACUAAUAACAUGCUGUCAGGCAUGGUCGGAGAGUCAAUUGUAGCCAUUUACUAAUGUUGUAUUUAUUGUAUUACCAGUGAGAAGAAAAAACAUUUAUAUAUGAAUAUAGAUAUAUCUAUUUGUGAUCUGCAACUCUUGGACAUAAGUUUGCCUUUGAUUUUCAACUUUCAUGCAGGAUUCAAUGCACUGUCGAUGUAUGAUGAGGUUUCUACUUGUGUGAUGUUUUAUUCUGUUGACAUUUAUUUGGUUUUGUUUCCUUUCAGUUCAGCUACUGAAUGUAACUUCAAAAACUCUUAAACCUUUUAGGUAGAUGUUGUUGUUUUAUAUAUACUUAAAAAACAUACCGUACUCUGUAAAUUAUAUACACGUGUAAAUGAUAUAGCAAAAUGUUUCUGAUAAUAUGCUGGACUUCUUCAUCUACUGACCCAGAUAGACUGGAAUGCCAUGGCCAAAAAAAGAAAAAGGAAAGAAUGAGAAAAGAAAAAAAGAAGUAAAGAUGCGGGAAGCAUUUAAAAGGAACACCAGUGCCCUGCAACCAGUGGGAAGCCAGUGGGAGAGACAGAAAUGUGUAAUCAUUGUUCUCAGCCAGGCUUUUCAAAUUUGAUAAGAACAAGGAGACAUGGGGCGGUCUGUCCUGUGUGAGAGAGAAAGACACAGAGAGGAGGCAAAGAUUUAAAAAAAAAAAUCUUAAAUAUUGAUUUUUCUCCCAUUUUUUUCUCGCCUCCUCUCUCUCUUUGUCUUUCUCCCUCGAAUCUUAGCAUUUUCAAGGUGCUGUGGGUGAGUGCUAUGUGAGGUUGAGGAAGAGAAGGAGGAGGUAAAAAAGGGGGCAUGGGAGGGAGGGGCUACAGUCUCCUCUGAGGUACAUGGGGUGGACGAAAUAAAGGAAACUUCCAACAGUAUAUCAUAUUGACAUCACAUCCUAAAGAAAACCCGUUUAAACGUUUAAAUGUCCACUUGGCCAAAACCAUGCAGUUUCUCAUGCAAGAUCUUUACGUCUGUACACAACAAGUUACUGCAGCUUACCAGUAUAAGAUCAGGUGACUUAACAUGUUAAAAGUGUGUUUACACAUUUAUGUUGAUUCAGAAGGGAAUUCCAACUACUACUAUUAUUAUUAUUAUUAUUUGACAAUAGAGUGUCAAAUACAGUAGAAAAAGAAGAUGAAAAAACAAAACAAGGGGGUGUUAUUAUUAUUUAUCAAUUCAAUGCAUAUAUAUCAAAUUCUAUCAACUCCAGAUUUAUCAGCCCUCAGUGGUGUACUUGACAUUGACCAUGAACAGAUGCAAGAGCCAUGUAAGAGCUCAUGAGCUGUUCUGACCCCAAUCAACAUAAUGAUUAAUGAAAUCAUUGAUUUGUUACAUGUCCAACAGAAAACUACUCAGAGGUCUGUCAUCUGCAGAGCUUUCCACCUUAAAGGCCACACCAUAUUUACCCUCAUUUUGCUGUCUCUCCAAGGCUUGGGUUUUGUUUUUGUUUUUUUACCUAACUCUGGCCGAUGCUUCCAUUGUGUGUGAGGGUAAGCUAAUACAAUGAUCUUCUAGUCUUGACUUGCCAGCCAGCUGAAUGUACUGUAGCUCAGUGUAGCUGAAUGAAAGCAGCACAAGCAGGUGCUAAACAUGGCUGUGAACAUGGUGGCCUUCAUGACAGGUAAUUUUUUUUUACCAAAUGAAACAUUUUCAUUCUUGGUGUACUGUGAGUUAAAACUCAAUAGAUCAAAAAAAUAUUUAAAUUUAUCCUUUAUUUUAACAAACUGCUUGAUUGUAUUUUAAAGCUGACAAAUUGCUUACUGACAGUGUAGCUGCCUUUACAGUUGUGAUUCAGUUAUUCUGAUGUUGAAGUACCUUUGUUAUGUCAUGUUUCCAUCAUUUUUUCCACCUCCUGUAGAGCACAGUGUGUAAUGGUGUGAUUGGAGCAACCUGAGGUCCUCCUGGGUUGGUGACCAACAUUCUGGAGGCCUUGUUGAUCUGAGACAGGGAGUACCUGCUACGAAUUUAGAAAACGUAAUUCACUGGAGAAUGUUCAAUCUUCUUCUCCUUCUCCUCCUCUUCCUCUUUUUCUUCCUCGUCCAAGUCAGAUUCACAAAUGAGCGAGGACUCAGUUCUCUGGUGUUUCAGUCAAAUAGAUUUCGCUUCUGUGUAAAAGAAUUCAGUGAUACCUCCCAUGUUGCUGCAUUUAUUUCUCUCUCAGUUGUUCAAAGUGCAUGUGGCACAGUGGACAGGACGGUGGCCUCAUACAUUACAUGACCGUUCUCUGGAUGGAUGUCUCAAAGCUUCUUCAAAGACUGAGACUAAAGGAGUGUGUGUGGGUGCAUCCAGUGGACUGACUUUUUAAAAAUGCCUUUCCACCACCAUUACUUAGCAAUCCACUGCUGAGCUGUUUAACUGGGAUAACACACCUGCAGUGGGACGAGGCAACUGAGAUGGGUUGCAAAAGACUAUAAGACAGAAUAAAAACAGACUGGGACUACAGAAAACAAACAAACAAAAAACUAAUGAAAAACAACUAACGAUGUCAAUCUUAGCAGAGAUCCAGGUCUCCUCAGAUCUCUGCCUUGUUCUUCUGAUUCUGAAAUUUUCUGUUCUUUCUGUUGUUAGUUAAAGACUUUUGUCCUGUUUACAUGUACUGUAAAUGCUGUCCAUCCAUUACUGGUUGGAGAGAUUAAAAAAAGGUGCGAAGCAGCUUUCAUACUAGCUCUGGUAUUCUCUAUGCCUGAUUACCGUAACCCUGAGAAAACCAUUCUGUUCAAGCUAGCAUGUCCUCCUUUACCUUGAUCCCUAAGUCCUUCCAUCCUUGUUCCAACCAGAAAACCCUGCCUUUAGGGAAAAAAUACUCACACCAUAGCAAAUCCCCAACCCUUUUCACCUGCUCUUCAGUACACAUACAAUAUGAAAAAUCCUUGAGCUUCCUACCAAAACCUAUAUGGGUCUUCUGCAAAACUUUCCCUAUUUCUUUAUAUUGCGUAUACCUCAGAUGCAAGCCCUAAAGCAGCUAUUAUUCUCUGAAACCUCCUGGCAACCAGACCUCAUUCAUCCCCCCUUAGUGUAGCCCAGCUAGAGCCCAACCCAUAAGCCAAAACCACACCUACCUCCCCACCUCCACCAUAAAGACAACAGUUUGUUUAAACUAAAGGACACGUAUGAAUUCUUCCCACACCAGCCCUGAUUGUGCAUUCAUCUGCAGUUAGUCUAAAACAUCAUAACAGCAUCUCUUUGUAAACAUGGCACAUUUUGUUUUAAUGAGACAUUAACAACCAUUAAAUUUGUAUAUUUGUCUAAUGUUUGUAUGAAAUCCUAUGUGAAGUGAAGGUUUGCAUGCUUUGCGUAACAGCACUACAAAUUUCUGUUUUUGUCACAAAGUUGUUUAGCUUUAUGGUACAUUAUUUGGGAUAUGAUUAAACUGUUUUGGUUAAGAUUAAACUAAGAUUAGAUUUUGAGUC